Long non-coding RNA from Xenopus laevis (African clawed frog), 524 nucleotides. RefSeq lists it as uncharacterized. The record is from RefSeq and is a predicted model, not a curated record. The transcript is spliced from 4 exons. NCBI's taxonomy places the organism in Eukaryota, Metazoa, Chordata, Amphibia, Anura, Pipidae.
UAAAAUAGUUUUUAUCUUGUUCUAGGUUCUACUUAACUGUUCAUGUGACUUCACUUAAUUGUACCAGGAUGGAUAAGGUGGCCAAACAUGGACCAAGUUUGCAACUUGUUUGUGGGUAUAUGGGGCCAACAGAGAGAGAAUAGGACUGCACCAACGUUUGAUGUCAAGUCUGUAGGCCCCUCCAUUUAAUCAAACCUGUAUGGGCAGAUUUAUCAAAGGGCGAAGUGGCCGUCGCUAGUGAAAAUUCGUCAGAAAUCCCAUCCUCACGGACAUCGCUAAUUUACUAAAAGGGGUAGAAGACAAUUCAAUACAACAGGUUUCUCCCUAACCCCUUGGAUGUUGCUCCUAGUGGCCUCGAAGCAGGUGCUUUAUUUUGAAUUCCUGGUUUGGAGGCAACUGCUUUGCAGGAUCAAGAACUGAGAACUGGGAAACCCUGCAUGGGUGGCAGCCAUCUUAGCCCAUCGUGCCUGAUCCUGUGUUUUCAGAAAAAGCAAGCAAUUCACAAUACAACUGCUUUCAGAUAA